Molecule: long non-coding RNA, 3251 nt
Filed under: Homo sapiens (human)
Lineage: Eukaryota; Metazoa; Chordata; Mammalia; Primates; Hominidae
Description: HSALNT0394437
Source: RNAcentral
GUGCCAGAGGUCAUAAAGAGCUGCUGAGCUAGUUGAGCUUUCUAGUGCUCAGAAGCAAAUCGAUCAGAUGAGCUGCAACUGUGGCUCUGCCACAGACCAUGAGCUAAUGCAGGCUGUACCCAGUGAGCCAGUGCCGCGGGCACUGGAGCCGGCAGUGGGAGAGGGUGAGCCGACAUAGCUAAUGCCUAACGCCAGGAGGGAGAGACAAAGGGGCCUCUUCUUUAACACUGUGAAUAGCCCCAGAGUGAAUACAGCCUUCGACAGCUGUGGUUUCAUUCUCAUCACCGCUGGGCGAGUUGGGGGUGCUAAUUGUGAAGCUGGAGAGCUGUUAAAAUCAGACCAGAUUUGUUAAAGGAGAGGAGUAAGAUGAUACUUCAGACCAGUAUCUGCAGUGGCACAGGCACAAAAGCCCUAUCUCAGGAGAAGGAAUGAAAGGAAGGCAAAAAGGCCGUGAGAAAAUGAAAGAAGCUGGUUGAUUGACCCCUCCUCUGUGUCGCCUCAGCAACUUGUCCAUAUCAUUGUUACAGCACUUACCACACAGUUGUAAGACGGUACUGCAAGCUUACUUUCCAACGUGGCUGCAUCGUUUCACAUUCCCACCAGCAGUAUGAGGUUUCCAAUUUCUCUGCAUCCUCAUCAAAACUUGUUAUUAUCUGUCUUUUUUAUUUUAGACGUUCUAGAAGGUGUGGAGUGGUAUCUCAUUGUGGUAUUGAUUUGCAUUUCCUUAAGGACUAAUGCUUUUGAACAUUUUUUCAUGUGCUUAUUGGCCAUUUGUAUAUCUUCUCUGGAGAAAUGUUUAUUCAAAUCCUUUGUCCAUUUUUUAAUUGGAUUGUCUUUUUAUUGUUGCAUGGUAUAAGUUCUCUAUAUAUUCUGGACACAAGUCUCUUAUUAGUUAUACCAUUUGCAAAUAUUUUCUCCCAUUCUGUGCGUUGUCUUUUAACCUUUCUAAUGUGUCCAUUGAAACACAAAAGUUUUUAAUUUUCACAAAGUUCAAUUUAUCUACUUUUUUCUUUUGUCACUUAUUUGUAUCAUAUCUGAGAAACCAUUACCUAAUCCAAGGUCAGGAAGGAUUACUCCUAUGUUCUCUUUUGAGAGUUUUAUUGUUUUUACUCUUAUAUUUAAGUUGAAUAUCCAUUUUGAGUUAGUUAAUUUUUGUAUAUAGUAUGACAUAGGAUCGAGAGGAUCUUGUUAAUCACUUUUUCCUGAUAUACAUCAGCUUCAAAUGUGAAGCUAUAAAUCUCCCUGUAGGUUUCCUGAAAGCCCUCAUUAUAUAAAGCAACUUCUGUGACAAAUUUGACUUGAUUAAUUAAUUAAUUAGAGACACAGUCUUGCUCUGUCCCCCAGACUGGAGUGCAGUGGUGCCAUCUUGGAUCACAGCAACCUUCAACUCUCAGGUUCAAGCAAUUCUAGUGCCUCAGCUUCCCAAGUAGCUAGGAUCACAGGUGUGCACCAGCAUGCCUGGCUACUUUUUGUAUUUUUAGUAGAGGCAUGUUUUUGCCAUGUUAGCCAGACUGGUCUCUAACUCCUGGCCUCAAGUCUUCCCCUGCCUUGGCCAACCAAAGUGCUGGGAUUACUGGUGUGAACCACCGUGCCUAGUCAUGAUAAUUUAUUGAGUGGAGUUCUGUUCAAGAUGAUGGAGGGCUAACAGCAGCAAAAGCCAGGCUCACUGGCUCUUGCCUGUAAUCCUAGCACUUUGGGAGGCCUAGUUGGUUAGGUAGAUCACCUGAGCUCAGGAGUUCGAGACCAGCCUAGCCAACAUGGCGAAACCCUGUCUCUACUAAAAAUACAAAAAUUAGCCGGGCAUAGUGGUGGAUGCUAAUAAUCCCAGCUACUCUGGAGGCUGAGACAGGAGAAUUGCUUGAACCUGGGGGCGGAGGUUGCAGUGAGCUGAGAUUGCGCCACUUCACUUCAGCCUGAGUGACAGAGUGAAAUUCCAUCUUAAAAGAAAAAAAAAAAAAAAAGGAAAGAAAGCAGCAAAGAGAAUUUUUUGGCAAGAUUAUGAGCCAAUUUUAAGAGCUUUUAUUACAUUUCAAAUGUGAUUUUAAAUUCUCAAAGUUGGACAGAUAGCAGGGAAAGAAUGGUCACAGACUUUUCCCUAAUAUUUUAAGUUGCUUCAAACCAGUUAUUAAAUCUUAUAUGUAUUUUUUAAAGACUUAUUCCACAGGGGUUUGAUUAAUUUACACAGACUUCUUCCAAAACUGUAUCUAAACCACAUUGUUGAUAUCUAAGAAACUCUAUGAGCUUCUUCAAAAGCCCUCUUAAAAAUACAACAAAAUCAUGUUAGCAACUCCAGAUUCCAAGUUGAAAUCCUCCCGCUUUAGUAUAAGAACCAUCAGUUUUGAAUGAGUCUGGAUACGAAAACCUAUUUUCCCAUUUUGAGGAGAAAAUCCCUUUUUAGAGACUCUUUCUUGAAUGGAUAUUUGUUAUAACAUAUUUGGGCUUAGGGCUAAAACCUUUGGUUUGUAAGCUGAGGUUUUCAUUUGCACUUACCAUCAACAGCGUAUAAGUUGAAAAGAAUCUCAGGUCUGGUUGCUGUCCUGAGCUACUGCAAAGAAGAAACCACUGAGAAUAAGAGCAUUUCAAUUAUUGUACAUCACAUUUGCUAUUUGCUGCCGUUAUUCUUCUAUUAAAGGAGGAUAAUCAACUGAUAUGAUAUUGUAGAUCUCAGUGCCUAGUGCAUUGUAGGUCCUCAAUAUAUGUUGAUUCUUCUUUUCUUUACAUAUUUUUGAGGUACAGAAAGAAGUUCUUAAAAUGGUUUUUAACUGUAAUCAUUUUGGAAAAUUAGCUAUGAAGAUGGAAAUUUGUGAACAAAGGAGAACUUGCAAAUGCCAUUUUACUGAGCAUGUUACUGAAUGGUUAUAUAAGGAGUAAAUAUUCUCUCAGCCUUAGUAAGUAAAUAUGAACCAAUAAGAACACAGGUGAGGACUCUUUUCCUAACCAGAAUAGAUGGCUAAGGUUUACAGGGCAAUAAAUUAGACUAUUUGUAUCCAAAGCAAUAUUGUUGUCACCACCAAUUGUAAUAAGCAUUUUUAUAAUUUAUGCCUUUAAUGUGUUUAUUAUGAAAAAGCUUCUAAGUAUAUUGCACAAGUGGUAAUCUGCUCCAGAACUGGAAAUUUGGGAGACUUGGUUUUUGGACUCAGCCUAUUCACUAUUAUUUGGUUGAUAGGUUUAUUAUUAUUAUUAUUAUUAUUUUUUAAAGGCCUGAGACAGUAGAGACUUUCUAAUAAAAUAUGCUGCAGUGAUGAAAAUUA